This 120-nucleotide small nucleolar RNA is filed under the name Echinops telfairi (small Madagascar hedgehog). Its description in RNAcentral is "Small nucleolar RNA SNORA61 (ENSETEG00000025010.1)". Lineage: Eukaryota; Metazoa; Chordata; Mammalia; Afrosoricida; Tenrecidae. The record is from RNAcentral.
AACCCAGAUUCCUUACCCCCUGGACCUAAAUAUUGGUCUGAGUGUUUUAAAAAAAGGCAGAAAAGGAACCUGAAAUGGAUGUGGAAUCUUUAGUGACAGAGAAGCUCAUUUCACACAUAA